UACGGGGGGAGCAAGCGUUGUUCGGAUUUACUGGGCGUAAAGGGCGCGUAGGCGGUCGUGACAAGUCACUUGUGAAAUCUCCGGGCUUAACUCGGGACGGUCAAGUGAUACUGUCGUGCUAGAGUACAGAAGGGGCAACUGGAAUUCUCGGUGUAGCGGUGAAAUGCGUAGAUAUCGAGAGGAACACCGGUGGCGAAGGCGGGGUCUCUGGGCAACAACUGACGCUGAGGAGCGAAGGCGUGGGGGAGCGAACAGG
Molecule: ribosomal RNA, 256 nt
Filed under: uncultured bacterium
Lineage: Bacteria
Description: partial 16S ribosomal RNA
Rfam family: Bacterial small subunit ribosomal RNA
Source: RNAcentral